CGCGAUAAAGGCUAACCCAGGGUGACCUGGGGGCGCAAAGCUACGGGGCCUGCCGGUGGCGAUCACCGGAAGGUUGGCCGGGUUGCCGAAC
This is a non-coding RNA of Armatimonadetes bacterium 13_1_40CM_64_14, 91 nucleotides long. The record is from Rfam. Lineage: Bacteria; Bacillati; Armatimonadota.